RNAcentral lists this ribosomal RNA (407 nucleotides) under uncultured bacterium. RNAcentral describes it as "partial 16S ribosomal RNA". It matches the Rfam family "Bacterial small subunit ribosomal RNA", at positions 30 to 526 of the family's 1533-position model. The record is from RNAcentral.
AUUGAACGCUGGCGGCAGGCCUAACACAUGCAAGUCGAGCGGAGCGGCGGACGGGUGAGUAAUGCCUAGGAACCUGCCUGGUAGUGGGGGCUAACGUCCGGAAACGGGCGCUAAUACUGCAUACUAUCAGAUGAGCCUAGGACGGAUUAGCUAGUUGGUGGGGUAAAGGCCUACCAAGGCGACGAUCCGUAACUGGUCUGAGAGGAUGAUCAGUCACACUGGAACGGAGACACGGUCCAGACUCCGACGGGAGGCAGCAGUGGGGAAUAUUUGACAAUGGGCGAAAGCCUGAUCCAGCCAUGCCGCGUGUGUGAAGAAGGUCUUCGGAUUGUAAAGCACUUUAAGUUGGGAGGCGUUACCAACAGAAUAAGCACCGGCUAACUUCGUGCCAGCAGCCGCGGUAAUUC